Molecule: ribosomal RNA, 492 nt
Filed under: uncultured bacterium
Lineage: Bacteria
Description: partial 16S ribosomal RNA
Rfam family: Bacterial small subunit ribosomal RNA
Source: RNAcentral
AGUGAACGCUGGCGGUAGGCCUAACACAUGCAAGUCGAACGGCGGCACAGUAAGAGCUUGCUCUUACGGGUGGCGAGUGGCGGACGGGUGAGGAAUACAUCGGAAUCUACUUUUUCGUGGGGGAUAACGUAGGGAAACUUACGCUAAUACCGCAUACGACCUACGGGUGAAAGCAGGGGAUCUUCGGACCUUGCGCGAUUGAAUGAGCCGAUGUCGGAUUAGCUAGUUGGCGGGGCAAAGGCCCACCAAGGCGACGAUCCGUAGCUGGUCUGAGAGGAUGAUCAGCCACACUGGAACUGAGACACGGUCCAGACUCCUACGGGAGGCAGCAGUGGGGAAUAUUGGACAAUGGGCGCAAGCCUGAUCCAGCCAUACCGCGUGGGUGAAGAGGGCCUUCGGGUUGUAAAGCCCUUUUGUUGGGAAAGAAAAGCAGCAGGUUAAUACCCCGCUGUUCUGACGGUACCCAAAGAAUAAGCACCGGCUAACUUCGUG